CCCGUUGAUCUCAGUGGAUAUUUCUUUCAAUAAGCAUUCACAGGUUUGCAGUGCAUCCCAGAGGGUUGCCAACAUCCCACUGCCCGAAUAAGGGACACAAGGGAGGGAGUAUGCUGGACUGGAGCAAUUUGGGUCCUCCUGAGUACUGCUGAUGUGCUGCUUGAAAGAUGUCUUGGAGUUCUUCAGAAAAGGAGGAGAGAUCUUCCACGCAGUCAAGUGAAGGGUUUCCACACCUGGAUGGAGGAUCUGGUCUGCUGUGCAAGAUAGAAGGAGGAUUCAUUGAAUCAGUGGAACAGGAGGAAAACGGUGUCCAAUGGCCGCUGAAGUAGAGGACACUCAUAUGUGUUCCCCAGCCAUGUUCUGAUGUAUCUGUGGUAAUCACCCAACUCGGCAGAGGCAAGUGGAAAGUGUUGGUGGAUUUAGGAAAAAGCACAGACUGCCCCUUUGGGUAUUGAAUGCGUCCAGAUACCAUCUCUGUAGGAUUGCAUCCUGUCAAGCAUGGGGAAGCACAUAGUUGGUGGCAGCCAUGUGCCUAACUAGACGCUGAAUGUUUUUUAUUCAGUGCUUCAUUCCCUGCAUCACAUGCUCUGCCAAAGAGGCCAAGCUGUGUAUGUGAGCCUCUGGUAGAAAAACACAGCUCUGUUCCAUGUUGAAAAUCAGGUCUAUAAACUGUAUCCAUCAUAUUGGAAAUAACUGCAACUUCUCAUAGCUCACCUGGAAGCCCAAAGAUUCUAGAACAUUGAUAGUUCAUCCUACUGUGGCUGACACUUCUUGGGGAGAACCUUCAGCAAUGAUCCAGUCAUCUAGAAAUAGGAAGAUCCAGACUCCCAUUUGCUGCAAGGACGCUACUACUGAUGCCAUACACUUUGUCAAGACAAUCAGCACUGAA
Hemicordylus capensis (graceful crag lizard) is the source of this 889-nucleotide long non-coding RNA. RefSeq lists it as uncharacterized. The transcript is spliced from 4 exons. The record is from RefSeq and is a predicted model, not a curated record. NCBI's taxonomy places the organism in Eukaryota, Metazoa, Chordata, Lepidosauria, Squamata, Cordylidae.